CACCACACCCAGCCUAUUUUUAUAAAUGGAACACAGAACACAUGGGCUCUCAAACUAUUAUGCGUGUCAGAAUCACCUGGAAGGCUUGUUAAAACACUGGUCACUGGGCUCUGCUUCUCAGACUUUGAUUCAUUAAGUCUGGAAUGGGCGUUGAGAAUUUGCUUUUCUAGAGAGUGCCCAGGUCAAUUAUGCUUGAAUCUGAAAGAAACAGUGUUCAGUACGAACAUUUGCAAAUGAGCACAAUGAAGUCUAGAAGGUUCAAAGUGAUUUCUUCAAGGCCACAUGUCGUACAAGAAUGAAGAUGAAAAUCCAGAUUCCCUGACUCCUGGUCCAACACUGUCUCCAAAGGAACAUCAAGUCUUUUUUCUCCCUCCCAUAUAGCUUGGAUUUUUAAAAAAUCAUAAAAAUAACUUUUAUUGCUCCA
Non-coding RNA from Microcebus murinus (gray mouse lemur), 424 nucleotides. NCBI's taxonomy places the organism in Eukaryota, Metazoa, Chordata, Mammalia, Primates, Cheirogaleidae. The record is from RefSeq and is a predicted model, not a curated record.